Molecule: ribosomal RNA, 440 nt
Filed under: uncultured bacterium
Lineage: Bacteria
Description: partial 16S ribosomal RNA
Rfam family: Bacterial small subunit ribosomal RNA
Source: RNAcentral
CUACGGGUGGCUGCAGUGGGGAAUAUUGCGCAAUGGGGGCAACCCUGACGCAGCAACGCCGCGUGAAGGAAGAAGGUUUUCGGAUCGUAAACUUUUGUCUUAUGGGACGAACGAUGACGGUACCAUAGGAGGAAGCCACGGCUAACUACGUGCCAGCAGCCGCGGUAAUACGUAGGUGGCAAGCGUUGUCCGGAAUUACUGGGUGUAAAGGGCGCGUAGACGGGCAGAUAAGUCAGAUGUGAAAUACCGAGGCUCAACCUCGGGGCUGCAUUUGAAACUAUCAGUCUUGAGUGCAGGAGAGGGAAGCGGAAUUCCUAGUGUAGCGGUAAAAUGCGUAGAUAUUAGGAGGAACACCAGUGGCGAAGGCGGCUUUCUGGACUGUAACUGACGUUGAGGCGCGAAAGCGUGGGUAGCAAACAGGAUUAGAUACCCUGGUAGUC